This 254-nucleotide ribosomal RNA is filed under the name uncultured bacterium. Its description in RNAcentral is "partial 16S ribosomal RNA". It matches the Rfam family "Bacterial small subunit ribosomal RNA", at positions 526 to 779 of the family's 1533-position model. The record is from RNAcentral.
CGGAGGGUGCGAGCGUUGUCCGGAUUUAUUGGGUUUAAAGGGUGCGUAGGCGGCCCGUUAAGUCCGGGGUGAAAGCCCGUUGCUCAACAACGGAACUGCCCUGGAUACUGACGGGCUUGAGUACAGACGAGGUUGGCGGAAUGGACCGAGUAGCGGUGAAAUGCAUAGAUACGGUCCAGAACCCCGAUUGCGAAGGCAGCUGACUAGGCUGUUACUGACGCUGAGGCACGACAGCGUGGGGAGCGAACAGGAUU